Molecule: ribosomal RNA, 294 nt
Filed under: Triticum aestivum (bread wheat)
Lineage: Eukaryota; Viridiplantae; Streptophyta; Magnoliopsida; Poales; Poaceae
Description: partial small subunit ribosomal RNA
Source: RNAcentral
AUGUUCCUGCCCUGUGUGUUUUCUUUGCGCAAAAAUACCGGGCCAUACCAACCUGCUUCUUCCCCCCUCUGCGCUAGCUCCAAGAUGCAUGUCUCGUCCUGGUGGAUUAACCGCGACCUCGACCACUUCGAUCCGCCGAUGCUCGGCACCGCUACCAAGAACCACCAAUCAGUCCUUGCUUGUGUCCAUGGUGAAGAUAAAGUCGCAGAAUGCAGAUCUUGGCUAACCCACCGACCACGCACACAUGCGUUGGUACGGCGCUCCGGGCGUGGCCCGACUUGUGCAGCGCGCUGA